UUAAAAACAUAAACUAUUAAUGUUUGAAUAACUAACAAUAAAAACAUAAAUUGUCAGACAUAUGGUGAAAUCAAGACAGGACAAGGAAAUGAAAAUCAGUUCACGUGAACAGAGUAGUCUUCAUUUUUUUCCCUCAGUCCUGGCUUUUGCGCUUGCCACGAGUCUAACAGAGUCCCAGACGACCGAUGCCAAUGGCUGGGCACUUGUAACAAAGCCAGGGGAGAUGGAGAGGGAUGAAGUCGUCGGUUCAGGCUAGGAGCAAUUCACCACAUGAAGACAGUGAAACAUCCUCAAUGAUAAACUUCAGCAGCAGUCUCCUAAGGUUUGGGAACUUUCUGUUCUGAAGAUUUCUAGUAAGAUUUCCUAGUUUUCUGCAACUUCCUUAGUUCAAUAGACUUUCUUUUGUUUAAAGACAGAAUUAUGUAGUCAGUACUGCCCACAUACCCAGGUCUUUGUUGCAUCAUAGAGAUUAGACGUGGGUUGAAAGAAGGGGAAUAGGCAACAGAGACAGAAACUUCGAAGGUCCUUGAUGUUUGCCCUGCAUGAGCGUUUCAUCUUACUUUGGUCUUUGCCGUCAUCUGGGAUUGACCUGAGAAACGCAGCUUCUCUACUGUUGUUCUGAAAGACAACAGGUGCUGCUGACCAACAUGAUUAUGACUAGGUAAAGGGAAGAUGUAACCCCAGAGUCCGAUCCCCGGCUCUCACUCAGGUUACCUUUCUCUAGGGUCCAAAGAUUCUUGUGGGGUGCCAGGGUGGCUCAGUCGGGCAGCAAAUUAUUUGGUGCUGAUUGAAAAUGUCUAGUUGACCUUGAUGGAGAGAUUUUAGCGGAGAUUGUGCUGUUUCACAGCUCACACAGGUAACUAUGGCAACUCUCCAUUUCAGUUAUGAACAUGUCAUACAAAUCCUAAGUGAAAACAGCUUCAACCUAUCAGCCCUCUUUAAUAAGUAAUCCAAUAAUAGUAGACCAUUCAGUCCAGAGAAGAGACUUUCUCUUAACUGUGCCAUAAUUGAAAUGGCAGCAAGCAGGGAGAGCUGUAGUCUUAACAUCAUUGGCCGACCCGUUAGCAUGAUUUCCAUGUGUGUCAUUCAACAAAUAACCCCUCCACUGUAAUCGGAUGAAGGAAAACCACAUACAACUGUGCAGGUAAUUCUGCACACCUGUAUUCUCUUCAGUUCAAGUGAAUCUUCCAGAAGGUUUCACGAACAGUGGGUGUGACUUCCCUAAUUUGCAGAUGAAGACACUGAAUCAGCAAGAGGCAAGGAAACGGCUGGCUCUCUGGCAGCCCAUGGGAACCAUGCUUGGAAUCCCAGCCCUGGUCUUCCUGCUCCAGCCCCUUCCUCCUGCCCACCAUCUGCUCCCCCAUGUCCUUACCCACAUGCUCUGUCGUCAAGCUCCGUCACCCGCUCAGGGGCUCCCCACUGUCCCACGGUAUAGUGUCCAUGUGGCAUUCAAGGCACGGCCUACCCCCUGCCUACCUGGUUCCCUGGGAUAGGGACCACACAUCCCAUAAUCCAGUCUCACUGAUUCUCCACAGAUUGCGCGUGUGCCCGUCCUCGUGCCCAUUUUUCCCCUGAGCCUUUGAUCUCUCAGUCUCCGGUUCCAGACUCCUUCUGGUUCAGCCCAAAUGGUAUGUCCUCUGGGAAGCUCUUCCUCAUGGCCCUUGUCAGAAUUCUUGUCAGAAUCAGGGGCUUCCCCUGUCCUCCAGGACCCUGUGGUUGAAGCCUCUGGUGCAGCGUUGGCUAUGAGCUGACUCCUGUGGGGGUGAGGCUGCGAGCCCCAUGAGGGUAGGGCUCAUGUCUCUAUUGUGCUGUUCUCAGCUGCGUCCCUAGUGCCUCACAUAGUGCCCAGCACCCAAGAGGCCGGCAGUCAAUAUCUGCUGAAUGAAUGAAUGAAUGGGUGAAGGUGUAAAUUAGGUUUAUAUUACAUCCCAGCCAAUCUGCAGCCAUUAUUUAUUCCUCUCCACACUUUCAAAGUGCUGCCCAGUCUCCAAGUUCUAACUCAAGCACAGUAUACCAUCCGAAGACUUCUCUAGUUCUCAGUCUGAAACAGCCUCCCCCACAAAACCCUGACGCGGUGCUUGCUUCCUCUCCUAUUGCUUUAGCUGGUUUCACUCUCUCUCACAAAAUUUUACCUUUGUUUCCACACAGCUUUUCAUUUCACCUCGCCUCUAACUUGCUGCUCACCAGGGUUCACAUCCUGGACCCUUCAGACAUCCCCGCAUAAUAGCUCGUACCCCACAGAUGCUCACGUAUUUCUCACAAGUCCGCCUAUCCGUAGAAACUUUCCUCUCUGAAGGAAGCCCUUCCUGGUAUCCCGUGAAGGGCUCUGUCUGAAGUCUGAGCCCCUUCUCUGCACGUGAACUAGAAGUCUCUAUAGGCUGGAGACCGUGGUGGGCCUCUUCCCAGCGGUGCAAACUAGAACCUAGGCCCCUUGCUUCCUAGCAGGACAAAAGUGCCCCAGCAUGUCUGGGGGCACUGCAUGUGGCCACGAACCCAGUUGCCCCUGGACUGUUCAGCCUGUCCAGGGUGAAUGCCAGCCUCUUUAGUCAGCAAGUGUUCCUGAGCCCCCAGCAGGUGCCAGACACGACAUGAAGUGCUGGAACACAGUGACCAAGCCGACAAGCUCCCUGACCUGGAGGAGCUCAGCCAAGUGUAGCGAUGGGCAGAUGUGUGAUUACCAGGAACAAAGAUUUUAAAUGUGUCUCGGGCACAGCUCCCCCAGGUGAAUGAUGGUGAGACUUUCUGGAAAUCUGGUGGUUCCUGCCUUCAUGGGGGGCACUGAGGAGCUGCUAACAACCAUAAUCAAUGACAUAGAGGGGUCGGCAUCGAGAGAAAAAGUACUCAGACCAGCGAGGGUGAUAACAGAUCAUGCAAGAGACAGAGAUGGGCAUGUCACCAGCUUGGACUUCAGCUCCUCCUUGAUUGUCCCGUGCACAAAUGUAUCUGAGAGUGGCAGCCCAGACCCCCAGCAAUGAACGGGCUUGGUUAGAUGGGUUCCGUCUGCGCAUGGGUCAGCUCGGGUCCCCGGAACGGGAUGGCAUCCAUCAGAAAUUCUUGUUCAUCAUGCCCAUCGGGCAAGUGGAUAUUGAGCCUGAUGUUCCAUAAAGGGCGUUCACUAUGCAUAAUGCAGGUCUGCACUUCUGUUUCCUCUGGCCCGGCCGUGAUCGUGGCUCACGUUUCACUUCCACGGGACUUUCUGAGUACGAGACCGGGCAUGUAAAGAAUGGGAUAAUUGAUCUUUUCCCUCCUGGCUGGAAUCUGUGGUUGCAUUCCCUCUCAACCGCACAGAAUUCCAGUUCGCUGCCUUGGGCUUUGCAGGGUCCUCUGUGAGAAGUAAAAGCCUACAGGUGUGGUGGUUGACGGCAGGCGCAGAGAUAGAAUUUCUUAUGACUGAGUGACUUCUUAUAUUUUCUCUGGAAAAACAAAAACCGAAAAACAAAAACCACACACACCCCCGCACACCUGCGUGAAAGACUUGCCGGCAUCCUCCCUUUGUAACUUACGUACUGUCCGCCUUUGUCUGAUUUUCUUUCCGUCCCUUCACAGCUGCUCCCGUGGACCCACACACGAUGGGACUCAUAAGUAGACCUGAAGACUCUCUGCAGCCUGGGGAGAAGGCAGAGCUUUGUUGAGCAACCCCCAGGGAGGGAAAAAAAAAAAAAAAAAGGACCCACAGGAUUUCCCCCCUUCGGUACAGGAUCGUGCCUUAGAAAUCCAGACAGAUAAUCUGCAAGUCAGGGGUCCAAGGGUAGCCUGUCUCCCUUGGGUGUUUGGGUCUCCAGGCUGUUGCCCCAAGGCCCUCCACCAAAUCAGAACAACUAAAAUCAUGCCGACAGGACCAAGGAAUGGGCACAGAAUGACGAGCGGCUUGGUUUCCUGUCUCUUCCUUUGCAGGCUUCUGUCCUCUAAGUUAAUGCCAGAUGAGUUCAUUAUGAUUAAUAAGAAACAGUUUGGGAAUCUGGAAUUUAGAUUUGAAGUAAAGUGAAUUUAGAUUAGGAUGUGUCUUUGGAACAUGCUUAUGGCGGGUUUCUGCACACUGCACCAAAGGACAUGUCUGGUAACUGCCUUUGGCCAUCAGCUAAUGACACACUACAGAAAUACAAGUCUUUCCUUGCUGGCAACAGGGCAUCAUACCCACAUGUGUUAAUGGGCUCCCCCAGAGCAGGCAAUUCAAUUCAUAAUUGAACAAGUAUUGACUAUCUUCUAUGUAUCGAUGGAAAUACACUGCAAUGAAUAUUCCUGAUAUCCCUGGAAGUCUGCUGAUUUCUAACAAGGAUCUGAGCAUCCUGGCUUCCAUUUGCUAUGGAGGCAGUCUUUGCAUGAUCUGGGAGCCUCGUGGGAAGCUAGGCUGUCCUGGGGCAGGGAGAGGUCUUGCAUUCUCUGCGGGCUGGCUCGUGUCUAGGAGUGGGGGCUCUGUAGGGUCCAGAGUGAAACAGAUCAUUUCAGAAACACUUCUUGCUCUCACUCCUUCUAGAAAUGUGCCUGAGACCUGGAUUAGCAUCCAAAUUGUCCUUCACUCCCUUCUGACUCUGGUCUUCUUUAGACGAGUACGGAUUCAUUAGUGGUGAAUCUGGCUACCUGCCUGGGGGACUUCUGUUUGCACCAUUUCCCCAUCUUGUAGAUUCAAAAUCACAGCACUUGCCCUAGAAUCACUGAGGAAAGCAAGACGCUAUCCCUUGAGCAAUUUACAAGAAAGAACUCUGUAAACAUGGGGAUCUUUGUAAUUUGUUUAACUUCGCUCUUGGAUUUCGGUCUCUGAGGAUCCUGAUCCUCUAGGUCAGUGGUUUCCAAACCUCACUGAUCAUCAUAAUCACCCAGGGACCCUUUUAAAAAUACGGAUUCUUAGGCCACACUUGGCUGAGCUUCUAAUGGAGAAGGUCAGAGAGAGGAAAAGAAUGAGGACAAAGACAAGAAGAGUAAGGAGGCGAUGUAAGUAGUUGAAAAUUGCUCACCUAAGCAUCGGGCCCUGCGGCCCCACAUGGAUGUGAUUUAUUUUUUAUUUUUCAUUUCAAAGAGUUAAUGAUAUAAUUACCCCCAAAGCAAUUAGAUGCAGUGUGGAAACAAAAUGGGUGAGGGACUGGGAGACAGGCUUAUUGAAGAGGAAGAUGAAGGAGUCAAGUAUGGCCAGCGUGUGAUCUCCCUGAACUAGGGCUUCUGGCUACACCCCCCAACCCAGCCACUAUCUCAGCCUCCGUGCAUCUCUUCAGUAGCUGUGCGCCCAUAGCUUGAGGGCAUGACUUCCCCCAACACGCACGUUUACUGAGCACUUACUGCUUUCCAGGGUCGAGUAAAGGCAUUAGCACUCAGGGAUGAACAGAUCUGGGGCCUCUGUCCUCUCGUGGAGCUUGCACUCAGCUGGGAGGGGAGAUCCAGAAAGGACUUCUCAGAUAAGUAAGAUCCUUACAAAUGGUGAUGAGUAGUUUAAAGGAAACAAAGUGCUGGGAUGGAGAUGAGAGUGUUGGGGGAAGCAAAGGGUAAUUAGAAGGAAAUACGGCGGCUCCAAAAAGGACAGAGCUAGGUGCAGGCAGAACCUGGGUUCUAGAUGCAGCUCGGACAGCUGUGGGCUCUGGGAGAACGUCAGCGAGUUGUCAAACCAUGUCUGUAUUCUUUUCCUGGCGCUGCCGUGACAAAUUGCCUCAAAGCGGAUGGCUUAACAUUUAAAAACAAAGCGAUCCCACUGCGGUUCCGGAGGUUGGAAGUCCAAAAUGGGUCUCACUGGGCUAAAAGCAAGUGUUGGAGAGCUGCAUUCUUUCUGUAGGAUCUAGGAGAACAUCGUCUAUACAUCGUCUAUAGCUGGUCUAUACAGUUUUGACAGGCUGCCUGUACCUCUCGGUUCGUGGCUUCCUUCCAUCUGCAGAGCCCAUAGUUAACGCCCUCACGCAUCACUCUGAUUCCCCCGUUGUCCCUUUUAUGGACCACUGUGAUUACUUCAAGGCCAGCUGGAUAAUCCAGGAUCUUCUCCCCAUCCCAGGAUCCUUAGUGAGUCACACCUGCGAAGUCCCUUUCACCAUGCGCGGUGGCAUAUUCAAAGUUCAUGGGGUUCCUAGGUGGCUCAUUCAUUAAGCAUCUUCCUUCUGCUCAGGUCAUGAUCCCAGGGUCCUGGG
Long non-coding RNA from Mustela erminea (ermine), 6104 nucleotides. RefSeq lists it as uncharacterized. The record is from RefSeq and is a predicted model, not a curated record. NCBI's taxonomy places the organism in Eukaryota, Metazoa, Chordata, Mammalia, Carnivora, Mustelidae. The transcript has 3 exons.